GCAGCGAGAGGGACAGCUUCGGUGACAGGCCUGGGGCGGGACCAGAGGACGUUCCGGGACGGAUUGGUCAAAGUCGUGCGUCCGGGCGCACGGCACGUUGGGAAGCGAGCAGCUGGAUUGGCUGCUUGCCUCGCAGAGGGGGCGGGCCUUUUGUUCCCGGGCGCGACGAUUGGUCUUUCCAAAUGCCGGAAGCGACGAGGGGAACGGUCGAAAGCCGGGAUCCAGCGUCCACGGAGCGGGGAGAUGAGGAAUCGGCGGCGCUGGGCCUCAGCCCGGCAGCCUCGGCCCCUGGUCCGAGUCCCCCCGCCCGCGCGGCUUGAGGAGACCAGGCGGCGCCCGCUUGUGCGGGCGGACCGCGGCCGUCGCGCCCCUGCCCUGUGGUUAAGUGGAGGCGCGCGCGGUGCUCCGCGUGCGGCGGGUGCGGGCAGCGCGGGAAGCAAGGACCGCGCCCGCCUCGCAGGGCCACCGGGAGGACUGCGCGAGGAGUGUGCGCGGCCCUUGGCCGGGGCUCGGCACGUAGGAAACUGGAAGCGGUGGUCCCUCCGCAGCGGCUGCCUUCCACGCUCCGAUUUCCCCGCUCCCAGCCAGUAACUUCCCUGGGUGAGCGGGGCGCCGUGGGCUGUCGAGCACCCUCGGGAUGAUGACCCAGGGUCCCGGUGGACACCUCAUUUAAUCUCUACACCCAACGUGGAGCUCGAACUCAUGACCCUGAGAUCAAGAAUUACAUGCUCUUCUGACUGAGCCAGCCAGGCACCCUCAAGUUCCCUUUUUAAGCGCAUAAAAUUCACAUAUCUUUGAUAAAUAACAACCCUAAUGACAUUGGAAUUGCCAUGAUUGAGACCAGGGGUUCCCCAACUGUGGUUCAGGGACCCCUGGAGGCCGCCCAAGACCUUUCUGGGGGUCAGCAAAAGUCUGGCAGUUUGGAGGGCAUGGCUGCAGGCUGUCAGCAAAGGCAGCUAUUCUCAAGAAGGCAAUCCAGAGCCCUGGGGUCUGGAAGAUUGAGUUGAAUGUCACCAGACUGGAAGGUGUACCAGUUAACAAGGGAAGGAGGGAGAGAGGAGUGGUCCCGCUGAGUCUGGGGAGAGGGUGAAAGGCCGUGUGCCGAGAUAGAGAAGCACCAGGCCUCAGCAGUUUGGAGCUAGCAGAUGGCCGCUGGAGCUGUCCUGCAGGCCACGUAUGUACCAGCCUGCUGGUGAGAAGCAGAAACCUUUGGAGAUGAGCUUGCUGGAGGGGACGUCCAGGCCCAGGCGGCAGAAGCCCGGAGGAUGUCAGUCACUCAGCACUUUCCUGGAGCAGGCAGCCUGGGAAUGCUCACCCCUCCCUGCUUCACCAGCCUGCUCAGAGACGGAGACUGCGCUUUAUGGAACAGAAGCUCAGGGAGGACAAGCAUCUGUCCACUGCUGUGUCCCUAGCGCCUAGGUCGUGGCCACAGAAACACGCGGGAAUGAGCCAGCAGUCUCUGAGAACCGGGCGUUAGAAGGUCUCAGUGAACAAAGGCAAGGUUUUCCUUAGCGGGAGGCACACAAGGGAGGGACGUCUGGGAACACUGGCCUGUCGCUGUGUCUCUCCCUGUUACACUGCGGCUGUCCGAGUUCAGUGUGCCUCACGGCAACUUCUACGGAAGUAGGUCCACCGUUGAUUUGCCGAAAAGCCGUGAUGGCCAUAGACCUCUAGGAUCUAGCAAGCUGGUGAACACUCGGUGCCUUAAUGGAAGGGCACAGAGACCUAGGACCGUCCUUGUUCAGGGGAAGAGCAUGCUCUGUCCAACCCCGCGAAAAGGAGUCACCCGGCUGCCCGCUGCUGACUGUGGGUCAGGGAGCGGAGACACGGCGGACCUGGUCACUGGCUACAUCCUAGACCAGCAAGCGGAGGACCCUGUUGGCUACAGGGCACAUUCAACUGCAAGCGGUCUGGGGGACCGUGUACAAAAAGUGAAUGCCUUCUUCCUUCAAAUGUCUUCUCAUUCCCCGAAACAAGUGACCCCUGGGGCCAGGGAGAUAGCAAGCUAGUGACUGCCAGGAAUAGCUAUAAACCAGACAUCCAGACGUGGUCCCUCUCUGCUGGUAGCUGAACCCAGAUGAGACUUCUGAGCCCACACUGGGGGGUUAUGGAGGGAGGGACCCCGGGCCUCUGGCCAGUGACGACUCCCCAGUAGCUAGUGAGCCUGGACAGGCAAACCCCAACUUGGACCAACAACACCCCAAAAACUCAACAUAAACUUGCAUCUAAAGAAACGGGGCGGCACGUGAUGAGGAGACGAGGCGGGGGGUCCCACCCGCAGUGACUGGAUCUGGGGGCGCAAACCAGGUUGCCCCACGCCUCACCUGCAGCCUUUGCUCCUUUACACGUGGGCCUCCUUCUCUCUCUCCAACCACGGUUGGCUUUCUCCACAGGGUGGGAAAGGGGGGAGCGGCCUGCUCGGUCCAUCCUCUCCAUGACCCCAAAGGCAGUCCCUUCAUCUUCAAACAGGAGCUCUAAGGAAGGACGCCAUUGGCUGACUUUGCAUUCCUGAACCAAUCGUCGCGCGGAUUAAUGCAGCCCUAGGAAGGGCUGGGGUCGCGUGACCAGGGGAUCAGGAUCGGAGGGGUGGAUGUUGCUGAACAGACGUGAACAACAGACACCUUCUGUAAUCAUCACUGUGGUCAGCGGGCUCUCAGGAGACCCUCGGUGACGCCCACCCCCUGGAAUUCACACCCUGGGGCCGUCCCUGCCACACGCUCCACGUGGUGAAGAGCUCAGGUCUCCUGCCAACAGCCAGGUGAGGGCACCCCCUGGAGAGCCACCCUCCAGCACCAGGAAAGCUUCACCUGGACCGCACCCUUGGACAAGGAGGACAGAUGGGGAGCAGCUUGCCUGAAGCAGGAACUUGAGAGCCCAGGACCCCCACCAGCCAAGGAACAGCUGCAGGGGUGGGAGCAGCAGAGGUCCGCUCUGCUCCCUCCUUCCACACCCCCCACCAAGGGUCGCCUGGCUCACAAACACACCUGGUGUCGGAGUGGCAAUGCAGGAAUCUAGGACAUGGGACCGCAACCCGUUCACCGUGAGGUUGCCUCCGCCAGUUAAGGGAGGCCGCGUCCUGAUGGACACUGAGUGCACAGAGCCGAGGAAGGACAGUUGAGUAAACAGAGGUUAAGAGGGGGGGCACCUGGGAGCUCAGUCAGUUGAGCAUCCGAGUGUCAGGUCAUGGUCUUGUGGUUCGUGGGUUUGAGCCCCACGAGCCUGCUUGAGAUUUUGUCUCCCUUUCUCAGCCCCUCCCCUGCUUGCUUUCUCAAAAAUAAAUGAAUAAACAUUUUGAAUAAAUGAAUCGAUAAUCUGUUCUUCCAGAAUCUCAUUUGCUAUGACAUCCCAGGAAUAACUCCCAGA
Molecule: long non-coding RNA, 3363 nt
Organism: Herpailurus yagouaroundi (jaguarundi)
Lineage: Eukaryota; Metazoa; Chordata; Mammalia; Carnivora; Felidae
Exons: 5
Source: RefSeq, a predicted model, not a curated record